Molecule: transfer RNA, 91 nt
Filed under: Caudoviricetes sp.
Lineage: Duplodnaviria; Heunggongvirae; Uroviricota; Caudoviricetes
Description: tRNA-Lys
Source: RNAcentral
GCCCCUAUAGCUCAGCCGGUAGAGCAGCGGUCUUUUAAACCAUGGGUCCACGGUCCGGUACAAAAUCGCAAUCACGAGACGCAGGGAGGCG